GAACUCAAAAAGUAGUUCUGACAGGAGGGAAGGUGAUAAGCUGGCGUUACAUAAAGAAACUACAUGAAUUACAAAAUGAUGAAUUCCUAAAUGUUGCAAACAAGUUGAAAAAGGCACAUUUGGAGUGAUGGAAACAUAAAAUGAAAUUCUAUUAUAGGUGAGUUUAGCAGCACAAACUCUUAGCAAGAGUUGCGGAUGCACUUGAAUUUUUAAAAGAUCUUGGUAUUAGUGACUUUCAAGGUUGUGAAACAACAAUAGAAUUCAUCAGAAGGAUAGAUUCUUUAUUUGAUAUUCUCAAUUCUCGAAGUGUACGUGCUAAGAAUUUUAAGGCACCUUUGAGAGAAAACAAUGAAGAAAUGUGGCGUCCAUUUCUCAUCGACACCAGUGAGUAUCUUCUGAAUUUGAAGGAUGUCACUGGCGGGCCUUUGUGGUGCACGCCCCGAAAAACGUCAAUUCUGGGCUUUGUUAUUUCCGCUACGUCGUUCAUGGGAAUUUUUGAUGAAUUUGUUAGUAGUAAGAGGUUGAAUGACUUGCUAACAUAAAUGUAGUCAAGAUCAUCUAGAAAUUUUCUUCUGCUCAGUGCGAUCGAGAAAUGGGUGAAACAAUAACCCUACUCCUCUACGAUUUUGUAAAACUUAGAAGAUUGCUUCUAUUUACAAACAUAACGAGGGAAGGAGGAAAUUGUAAAGUGCUUUGCACCACCUGUCUGCUCUCUGUUAACAUUGGCCCAAAGCAAAAGAGCACAAAUGUUCAACAAUCAGUUGACGUGUUUGUCUUGAAAAAAUAUGAUCUCGAUAUUUUGACUGAAGCACUUGCAGAUCAUGACUAUGACCGUCUAAGUUUAUUGGGCUGAGUGAAGUGGCAGAAAACGUGGCAUAUAUUGGUAGCUAUGUUGUCAAAAUGGUGGUGAAGACGUUUAAGUGCGCAGACUGCAUUUCUUCUUGUAUUGAAACAAGAAGAAGUGACUUACACUUUUACAGAUUAUUGGACAAAAAAAAACAUGGGUGGGCUUAUUAAACCUUUUGCUGGGGUUGUGAAGACUUGUUGUUACUGUUAAUACGAAAAAUUUUGCAACUCACCGAUAAAAUUCCAAGCGAUGAACAAUUUUUUAAAACUUUCGGCAUGCCAGCAUUCUUUUUCCUAAUUUAGAAGACCCACGCACUCGAGACGGUGGCCAUCGAUGAAGGCCAUUUAUAUAUUCUUAUUAAACAAAUAAUUAAUGCCUACAUGCGAAUAAGAAUGUUUCAUUUGAGCAAAAGACUUUCAUGUCUUGCUCAAGGCACUUCUGUUAGACAUGUGUACACAUAAUUAGUACUGUUUUCGCAUCAAUAAAUAUAUUGAAGUAUAA
Long non-coding RNA from Zophobas morio, 1348 nucleotides. RefSeq lists it as uncharacterized. The transcript has 4 exons. Lineage: Eukaryota; Metazoa; Arthropoda; Insecta; Coleoptera; Tenebrionidae. The record is from RefSeq and is a predicted model, not a curated record.